UCUCCGUAGGUGAACCUGCGGAGGGAUCAUUACUGAGUGAGGGCCUCCCCGGCCCGACCUCCAACCCUUUGUGAACACAACUUGUUGCUUCGGGGGCGACCCUGCCGUUCCGACGGCGAGCGCCCCCGGAGGCCUUCAAACACUGCGUAACUAAGUCGUCGGAGUUUAAACAAAUUAAACAAAACUUUCAACAACGGAUCUCUUGGUUCGGGCAUCGAUGAAGAACGCAGC
This 231-nucleotide unclassified non-coding RNA is filed under the name uncultured fungus. Its description in RNAcentral is "sequence contains ITS1, 5.8S rRNA gene". The stretch from base 183 to 231 matches the Rfam family "5.8S ribosomal RNA", at positions 1 to 49 of the family's 154-position model. Lineage: Eukaryota; Fungi. The record is from RNAcentral.